Molecule: ribosomal RNA, 373 nt
Filed under: uncultured organism
Description: partial 16S ribosomal RNA
Rfam family: Bacterial small subunit ribosomal RNA
Source: RNAcentral
GUAGGUGGCAAGCGUUGUCCGGAAUUAUUGGGCGUAAAGCGCGCGCAGGCGGUCCUUUAGGUCUGAUGUGAAAGCCCACGGCUCAACCGUGGAGGGUCAUUGGAAACUGGGGGACUUGAGUACAGAAGAGGAAAGCGGAAUUCCAAGUGUAGCGGUGAAAUGCGUAGAGAUUUGGAGGAACACCAGUGGCGAAGGCGGCUUUCUGGUCUGUAACUGACGCUGAGGCGCGAAAGCGUGGGGAGCAAACAGGAUUAGAUACCCUGGUAGUCCACGCCGUAAACGAUGAGUGCUAAGUGUUAGGGGGUUUCCCGCCCCCUUAGUGCUGCAGCUAACGCAUUAAGCACUCCGCCUGGGGAGUACGGCCGCAAGGCUG